Molecule: unclassified non-coding RNA, 1060 nt
Filed under: Homo sapiens (human)
Lineage: Eukaryota; Metazoa; Chordata; Mammalia; Primates; Hominidae
Description: VPS52 subunit of GARP complex (ENSG00000224455.9, ENSG00000236014.10)
Source: RNAcentral
CCGGGGCUAGUUUGUGUUUCAGACUUCCAUAUUUCCAUUUGCAGUUGGGUGAAGUGGUUAGAGCUGAAAGGGGACAGCUGGAGUCAAACAACUUAACUCAAAUAUCUGGGAACGAUUUCGCGCUGAGGAAGACCCUUUGGGACUUGUAGCUCCACUCCGGGGAACGGACUCGCCGGGACUGACAGUUGCCGGAAGCGGGUGGUCCUGGGCUCCAGGAACCACUGCAACUUGGGGAGUUGGAUAUCACUUCUGAUGAAUUCAUCCUGGAUGAAGUGGAUGUUCACAUUCAGGCAAAUCUGGAGGAUGAGUUAGUAAAGGAAGCUCUUAAAACGGGUGUAGAUCUCCGUCACUAUUCAAAGCAAGUUGAGCUGGAGCUACAGCAGAUUGAACAGAAAUCCAUUCGGGAUUAUAUUCAAGAGAGUGAGAAUAUAGCAUCUCUACACAACCAGAUCACAGCCUGUGAUGCUGUCCUGGAGCACUCCGGCAACAUCUACCCUCCCUACAGCGAAUGGAGCAGAUGUUGGGAGCUUUUCAGAGUGACCUCAGCUCCAUCAGCUCUGAGAUCCGGACACUGCAGGAACAGUCAGGAGCCAUGAACAUUCGACUUCGAAAUCGCCAGGCAGUUCGGGGGAAACUUGGGGAGCUUGUUGAUGGUCUGGUGGUGCCUUCUGCUCUGGUCACGGCAAUUCUGGAGGCUCCAGUGACAGAGCCCAGGUUCUUGGAGCAGCUACAGGAGCUGGAUGCCAAGGCAGCCGCAGUCAGAGAGCAGGAAGCUAGAGGCACAGCAGCCUGCGCAGAUGUCAGAGGCGUGCUCGAUCGGCUCCGGGUCAAGGCAGUGACGAAGAUCCGAGAGUUUAUCCUCCAGAAGAUUUAUUCCUUCAGGAAACCCAUGACCAACUAUCAGAUCCCCCAGACGGCCCUGCUGAAGUACAGGUUCUUCUAUCAGUUUCUGUUGGGCAAUGAACGAGCAACAGCAAAGGAGAUCAGGGAUGAAUAUGUGGAGACGCUGAGCAAGAUUUACCUGUCUUACUACCGCUCUUACCUGGGGCGGCUCAUGAAG